RNAcentral lists this long non-coding RNA (476 nucleotides) under Carica papaya (papaya). RNAcentral's name for it is "long non-coding RNA (CPAP_LNC000377)". The record is from RNAcentral. Lineage: Eukaryota; Viridiplantae; Streptophyta; Magnoliopsida; Brassicales; Caricaceae.
AUUCAUAAACUUUUGUUUUGUUUGUUGUUAAUUUACAAACUCUUAAAAAGUUAUCUAAAAAAAAAGAUAUCCCCUACCAAACUAGAUUUUUAUUCAUUAAAUCUUUACCUUCUUCACACAAACCCUGCAUUCUUUUCUUUCUCCUCAUUUGCUCUGCUUCUCCUCCAACAUCUUCAUUUCAUGAUCUCCCCUUUUUCUUCUUUGCUCAGUCAAUCGUCAUCACUUCACCGCAAGUUGCUCUCUUUUUUUUCUUUGACGCUGAGAUUCCCGUUUUUCUCUUUUUCACAUUACAAUUGGAUGAGUGUAGUAAACCUCUUCCCCAAUCUUUAUGUGUUCAUCAAAGCCCGAGGAAAAAGAAGACUUUUAAAGCCUCCCCAAAAAAUAUCAUUCGCAGAGGCUAUUAAUGAAGCCCAAAUGGGCUUAGCCGAGGAAGGAAAAGAGAAAAAGAAAUGCAGAGGAAAAAUGGAUAGGUUGAG